Molecule: ribosomal RNA, 468 nt
Filed under: uncultured bacterium
Lineage: Bacteria
Description: partial 16S ribosomal RNA
Rfam family: Bacterial small subunit ribosomal RNA
Source: RNAcentral
GACGAACGCUGGCGGCGUGCUUAACACAUGCAAGUCGAACGGAAAGGCCCUGCUUUUGUGGGGUGGCCGGGGGGCGAACGGGUGAGUAAAACGGGAGUAACCUCCCCUGGACUUUGGGAUAACUUAAGGAAACUGGGCUUAAUACCGGAAAGAAGCCCCUGCUGAAUGGUGGGGGUUGGAAGGUUUCGGCGGUUGGGGAUGGACUCUCGGCUAAUCGGCUUGUUGGUGGGGUAGUGGCUAACCAAGGCUUUGACGGGUAGCCGGCCUGAGAGGGUGACCGGCCACAUUGGGACUGAGAUACGGCCCAGACUCCUACGGGAGGCAGCAGUGGGGAAUAUUGCACAAUGGGCGGAAGCCUGAUGCAGCAACGCCGCGUGCGGGAUGACGGCCUUCGGGUUGUAGACCGCUUUAGCCUGUGACGAAGCGUGAGUGACGGUAAUGGGUAAAGAAGCACCGGCUAACUACGUG